CUACUAUCCAGCGAAACCACAGCCAAGGGAACGGGCUUGGCGGAAUCAGCGGGGAAAGAAGACCCUGUUGAGCUUGACUCUAGUCCGACUUUGGUAAAUGACUUGAGAGGUGUAGGAUAAGUGGGAGCCCUUACGGGCGCAAGUGAAAUACCACUACUUUUAACGUUAUUUUACUUAUUCCGUGGGUCGGAAGCGGGGCAUG
This is a non-coding RNA of Hordeum vulgare subsp. vulgare (domesticated barley), 202 nucleotides long. Lineage: Eukaryota; Viridiplantae; Streptophyta; Magnoliopsida; Poales; Poaceae. The record is from Rfam.